AUUGAACGCUGGCGGCAGGCCUAACACAUGCAAGUCGAACGGUAACAGGAAGAAGCUUGCUUCUUUGCUGACGAGUGGCGGACGGGUGAGUAAUGUCUGGGAAACUGCCUGAUGGAGGGGGAUAACUACUGGAAACGGUAGCUAAUACCGCAUAACGUCGCAAGACCAAAAAGGGGGACCUUCGGGCCUCUUGCCAUCGGAUGUGCCCAGAUGGGAUUAGCUAGUAGGUGGGGUAACGGCUCACCUAGGCGACGAUCCCUAGCUGGUUUGAGAGGAUGACCAGCCACACUGGAACUGAGACACGGUCCAGACUCCUACGGGAGGCAGCAGUGGGGAAUAUUGCACAAUGGGCGCAAGCCUGAUGCAGCCAUGCCGCGUGUAUGAAGAAGGCCUUCGGGUUGUAAAGUACUUUCAGCGGGGAGGAAGGGAGUAAAGUUAAUACCUUUGCUCAUUGACGUUACCCGCAGAAGAAGCACCGGCUAACUCCGUG
Molecule: ribosomal RNA, 490 nt
Filed under: uncultured bacterium
Lineage: Bacteria
Description: partial 16S ribosomal RNA
Rfam family: Bacterial small subunit ribosomal RNA
Source: RNAcentral